GACUAACGCUGGCGGCGUGCCUAAUACAUGCAAGUAGAACGCACAGGAUGCACCGUAGUUUACUACACCGUAUUCUGUGAGUUGCGAACGGGUGAGUAACGCGUAGGUAACCUGCCUGGUAGCGGGGGAUAACUAUUGGAAACGAUAGCUAAUACCGCAUAAGAACAUUUACUGCAUGGUAGAUGUUUAAAAGGUGCAAGAGCAUCACUACCAGAUGGACCUGCGUUGUAUUAGCUAGUUGGUGAGGUAACGGCUCACCAAGGCAACGAUACAUAGCCGACCUGAGAGGGUGAUCGGCCACACUGGGACUGAGACACGGCCCAGACUCCUACGGGAGGCAGCAGUAGGGAAUCUUCGGCAAUGGGGGAAACCCUGACCGAGCAACGCCGCGUGAGUGAAGAAGGUUUUCGGAUCGUAAAGCUCUGUUGUUAAGGAAGAACGUGUGUGAGAGUGGAAAGUUCACACAGUGACGGUACUUAACCAGAAAGGGACGGCUAACUACGUGCCAGCAGCCGCGGUAAUACGUAGGUCUCGAGCGUUGUCCGGAUUUAUUGGGCGUAAAGCGAGCGCAGGCGGUUAGAUAAGUCUGAAGUGAAAGGCAGUGGCUCAACCAUUGUAGGCUUUGGAAACUGUUUAACUUGAGUGCAGAAGGGGAGAGUGGAAUUCCAUGUGUAGCGGUGAAAUGCGUAGAUAUAUGGAGGAACACCGGUGGCGAAAGCGGCGCUCUGGUCUGUAACUGACGCUGAGGCUCGAAAGCGUGGGGAGCGAACAGG
Molecule: ribosomal RNA, 773 nt
Filed under: uncultured Streptococcus sp.
Lineage: Bacteria; Bacillati; Bacillota; Bacilli; Lactobacillales; Streptococcaceae
Description: bacterial SSU rRNA
Rfam family: Bacterial small subunit ribosomal RNA
Source: RNAcentral